AAACUCAAAUGAAUGACGGGGCCCGCACAAGCGUGGAGCAUGUGGUUUAAUUUCGACGCAACGCGAAGAACCUUACCAGGGCUUGACAUCCCCUGACCGCGUAUGAAAGUACGUUUUCACCCUCGGGUGACAGGGAGACAGGUGGUGCAUGGUUGUCGUCAGCUCGUGUCGUGAGAUGUUGGGUUAAGUCCCGCAACGAGCGCAACCCCUACGUUUAGUUGCUAACAGGUGAAGCUGAGCACUCUAGACGAACUGCCGUUGACAAAACGGAGGAAGGUGGGGAUGACGUCAAAUCAUCAUGCCCCUUAUGUUCUGGGCUACACACGUGCUACAAUGGCCGGUACAGACGGAGGCGAAGCCGCGAGGCGGAGCAAAUCCGAAAAAGCCGGUCUCAGUUCGGAUUGAAGUCUGCAACUCGACUUCAUGAAGUCGGAAUCGCUAGUAAUCGCGGAUCAGAACGCCGCGGUGAAUACGUUCUCGGGGUUU
Molecule: ribosomal RNA, 486 nt
Filed under: uncultured Pelotomaculum sp.
Lineage: Bacteria; Bacillati; Bacillota; Clostridia; Eubacteriales; Desulfotomaculaceae
Description: bacterial SSU rRNA
Rfam family: Bacterial small subunit ribosomal RNA
Source: RNAcentral